UGGGGAAUUUUUGGACAAUGGGCGAAAGCCUGAUCCAGCCAUGCCGCGUGCAGGAUGAAGGCCUUCGGGUUGUAAACUGCUUUUGUACGGAACGAAAAGACUCUGGUUAAUACCUGGGGUCCAUGACGGUACCGUAAGAAUAAGCACCGGCUAACUACGUGCCAGCAGCCGCGGUAAUACGUAGGGUGCAAGCGUUAAUCGAAAUUACUGGGCGUAAAGCGUGCGCAGGCGGUUAUAUAAGACAGAUGUGAAAUCCCCGGGCUCAACCUGGGAACUGCAUUUUGUGACUGUAUAGCUAGAGUACGGCAGAGGGGGGAUGGAAUUUCCGCGUGUAGCAGUGAAAUGCGUAGAUAUGCGGAGGAACACCGAUGGCGAAGGCAAUCCCCUGGGCCUGUACUGACGCUCAUGCACGAAAGGCGUGGGGAGCAAACAGGAUUAGAUACCCUGGUAGUCCACGCCCUAAACGAUGUCAACU
This 475-nucleotide ribosomal RNA is filed under the name uncultured bacterium. RNAcentral's name for it is "partial 16S ribosomal RNA". It matches the Rfam family "Bacterial small subunit ribosomal RNA", at positions 355 to 817 of the family's 1533-position model. The record is from RNAcentral.